Molecule: ribosomal RNA, 505 nt
Filed under: uncultured bacterium
Lineage: Bacteria
Description: partial 16S ribosomal RNA
Rfam family: Bacterial small subunit ribosomal RNA
Source: RNAcentral
GACGAACGCUGGCGGCGUGCCUAAUACAUGCAAGUCGAACGCACAGUUUAUACCGUAGCUUGCUACACCAUAGACUGUGAGUUGCGAACGGGUGAGUAACGCGUAGGUAACCUGCCUGGUAGCGGGGGAUAACUAUUGGAAACGAUAGCUAAUACCGCAUAAUAUUGAUUAUUGCAUGAUAAUUGAUUGAAAGAUGCUAUUGCAUCACUACCAGAUGGACCUGCGUUGUAUUAGCUAGUAGGUGAGGUAACGGCUCACCUAGGCGACGAUACAUAGCCGACCUGAGAGGGUGAUCGGCCACACUGGGACUGAGACACGGCCCAGACUCCUACGGGAGGCAGCAGUAGGGAAUCUUCGGCAAUGGACGAAAGUCUGACCGAGCAACGCCGCGGGAGUGAAGAAGGUUUUCGGAUCGUAAAGCUCUGUUGUAAGAGAAGAACGGGUGUGAGAGUGGAAAGUUCACACUGUGACGGUAUCUUACCAGAAAGGGACGGCUAACUACGUG